RNAcentral lists this long non-coding RNA (758 nucleotides) under Coffea arabica (coffee). RNAcentral describes it as "long non-coding RNA (CARA_LNC006497)". The record is from RNAcentral. Lineage: Eukaryota; Viridiplantae; Streptophyta; Magnoliopsida; Gentianales; Rubiaceae.
UCCGCUGUGACCAAAAUUUUGCUAUCUGCUCAUUAAUUAAGACAGGCUACUUCCGAAUCCUAGAUAUAGAACAGUCUUGCUCAGUCUAUAUAAAUCCAUCUUCAUCCACCUCCUAAUUUCAUCCUAUUUCCUACUGUCAAAAUUUUCCAUUUUCAACUUUCAGCAUGAACAAAAUCUCCCUGCAAAUGAUGUUGGUUGUUUCGCUUGUCCUGGUUUUUGCUCAAUGGAUAAACUUUGGCGUGGUUGUGGAGGUGGCUGAAUCAGGGGCCGACCCGCCUGAGAAAACGAGAGUCUUCCCCUUCCAGUACCCAAAGCUUAACAGCUCCAAUGUCAGUUAUGCUUCUGAGCUAAAGAAUAAAUUUUGUAAAUGUAUAUUUUGCGUGUGCAAUUGUCCUUGCGCCUAUUGCGGCUGUAAGAAUCCACCUGCAAAUGUCCUUCCACCUGUUGCAGAUGUAAAUGAUUAAAAACUUCAGAAAGAUGGUGGAACCUUAAUUAGUAAUGAAUAAAAUUGGUGGGAAUUUCCAUAAUUUUCAGUGAAGGGCACUGGUGGAUCCUUGUGGGUUCACUUCAUGGCUUAACAAUGAUGAAUAGCUUGAAGGGCUUCAACAUAUUACACAGAAGUAAGCUUGAAUUAUUUUGUCAGAUUGACUCAAUUGAUGUUUUUCUCUCACCGUUUCUUAAAUUUCAUCCUUAAUUUUUCUGUAAGGUGCUAGUUAAUAAUUUUAUUGUGCUUGUGCAAACCUUGCGAGUAUUGUGGG